CGCACAUUGCGCCCCUUGGUACUCCGAGGGGCAUACCUGUCCGAGCGUCAUUGCACCUCUCAAGCUCCGCUUGGUCUUGGGACCCGCCCCCUCCCCGGGGCGGCCCCGAAAAGCAGUGGCGGUCCGGUGAGACUUCAAGCGUAUGGAAUUUGACCGGGAACGGUCGUUCGUUUGGAUCGCUCGAGCCGCGACCCCGCCAGGUCAACCCCUCGAAAUCUUUCAGGUUGACCUCGGAUCAGGUAGGGAUACCCGCUGAACUUAA
RNAcentral lists this unclassified non-coding RNA (262 nucleotides) under Halecania alpivaga. Its description in RNAcentral is "partial contains 5.8S ribosomal RNA, internal transcribed spacer 2, and large subunit ribosomal RNA". The record is from RNAcentral. Lineage: Eukaryota; Fungi; Ascomycota; Lecanoromycetes; Leprocaulales; Leprocaulaceae.